RNAcentral lists this transfer RNA (87 nucleotides) under Geobacter sp. RNAcentral describes it as "tRNA-Leu". It matches the Rfam family "tRNA". From Rfam's summary of the family: Transfer RNA (tRNA) molecules are approximately 80 nucleotides in length. Their secondary structure includes four short double-helical elements and three loops (D, anti-codon, and T loops). The record is from RNAcentral. Lineage: Bacteria; Pseudomonadati; Thermodesulfobacteriota; Desulfuromonadia; Geobacterales; Geobacteraceae.
GCGGGCAUGGUGGAAUUGGUAGACACAAGAGACUUAAAAUCUCUCGGUCGAAAGACUGUGCCGGUUCGAUCCCGGCUGCCCGCACCA